This 272-nucleotide ribosomal RNA is filed under the name uncultured bacterium. Its description in RNAcentral is "partial 16S ribosomal RNA". It matches the Rfam family "Bacterial small subunit ribosomal RNA", at positions 28 to 297 of the family's 1533-position model. The record is from RNAcentral.
GACGAACGCUGGCGGCGUGCUUAACACAUGCAAGUCGAACGGUGACCUCGGAGCUUGCUCCGGGCGAUCAGUGGCGAACGGGUGAGUAACACGUGACCAACCUGCCCCUAGCUCUGGGAUAACCCCGGGAAACCGGAGCUAAUACCGGAUACGAGACCGAGCGGCAUCACACGGUCUGGAAAGUUUUCGGUCUAGGGAGUGGGGUCGGCGGCCUAUCAGCUUGUUGGUGGGGUAACGGCCCACCAAGGCGACGACGGGUAGCCGGCCUGAGA